Molecule: transfer RNA, 72 nt
Filed under: Nippostrongylus brasiliensis
Lineage: Eukaryota; Metazoa; Nematoda; Chromadorea; Rhabditida; Heligmosomidae
Rfam family: tRNA
About the family: Transfer RNA (tRNA) molecules are approximately 80 nucleotides in length.
Source: Rfam by way of RNAcentral
ACAUCGGUAGCCCAGUGGUUAGUGCGGUCUGCCCGAAAUAGAAAGACGCGGGUUCAAUUCUUGUCCGAUGUC